GGUAGUCCACGCUGUAAACGAUGUCGAUUUGGAGGUUGUGCCCUUGAGGCGUGGCUUCCGGAGCUAACGCGUUAAAUCGACCGCCUGGGGAGUACGGCCGCAAGGUUAAAACUCAAAUGAAUUGACGGGGGCCCGCACAAGCGGUGGAGCAUGUGGUUUAAUUCGAUGCAACGCGAAGAACCUUACCUACUCUUGACAUCCAGAGAACUUAGCAGAGAUGCUUUGGUGCCUUCGGGAACUCUGAGACAGGUGCUGCAUGGCUGUCGUCAGCUCGUGUUGUGAAAUGUUGGGUUAAGUCCCGCAACGAGCGCAACCCUUAUCCUUUGUUGCCAGCGGUUCGGCCGGGAACUCAAAGGAGACUGCCAGUGAUAAACUGGAGGAAGGUGGGGAUGACGUCAAGUCAUCAUGGCCCUUACGAGUAGGGCUACACACGUGCUACAAUGGCAUAUACAAAGAGAAGCGACCUCGCGAGAGCAAGCGGACCUCAUAAAGUAUGUCGUAGUCCGGAUUGGAGUCUGCAACUCGACUCCAUGAAGUCGGAAUCGCUAGUAAUCGUAGAUCAGAAUGCUACGGUGAAUACGUUCCCGGGCCUUGUACACACCGCCCGUCAACCAUGGGGAGUGGGUUGCAAAAGAAGUAGGUAGCUUAACCUUCGGGAGGGCGCUUACCACUUUGUGAUU
This 680-nucleotide ribosomal RNA is filed under the name uncultured Serratia sp. RNAcentral's name for it is "bacterial SSU rRNA". It matches the Rfam family "Bacterial small subunit ribosomal RNA", at positions 789 to 1469 of the family's 1533-position model. Lineage: Bacteria; Pseudomonadati; Pseudomonadota; Gammaproteobacteria; Enterobacterales; Yersiniaceae. The record is from RNAcentral.